RNAcentral lists this ribosomal RNA (253 nucleotides) under uncultured bacterium. Its description in RNAcentral is "partial 16S ribosomal RNA". It matches the Rfam family "Bacterial small subunit ribosomal RNA", at positions 524 to 776 of the family's 1533-position model. The record is from RNAcentral.
UACAGAGGUCUCAAGCGUUGUUCGGAUUCAUUGGGCGUAAAGGGUGCGUAGGCGGCGCGGUAAGUCGGGUGUGAAAUCUCGGAGCUUAACUCCGAAACUGCAUUCGAUACUGCCGUGCUUGAGGACUGGAGAGGAGACUGGAAUUUACGGUGUAGCGGUGAAAUGCGUAGAUAUCGGGAGGAACACCGGUGGCGAAGGCGGCGAUCUGGGUCGAUACUGACGCUGAGGUGCGAAAGCGUGGGGAGCAAACAGG